RNAcentral lists this long non-coding RNA (374 nucleotides) under Homo sapiens (human). RNAcentral's name for it is "HSALNT0030134". Lineage: Eukaryota; Metazoa; Chordata; Mammalia; Primates; Hominidae. The record is from RNAcentral.
UUAGAGCCACUGGGAAAGCUGUUUCUCUAUGAACUCACAUAAGAUACAAAGAAGCUGAGGCAUCAGCAUCACCGAUGGCAGCCACUGCAGAGGAACUUGCAGGUCCCACCACCUCAGCUCAGCCACCAGCACGUCAUCAGGGCUUCGCACUGACAUUGCAGUGACAGCAGACAACAUCAAUGAUGCCCUUGCUAGGUAGGAGCAGCUGUGGUGAUGGCAUUAAUGGGCACCAAGGGACAGAACUGACGCUUUUCUUCCUCAGCAAUGACUAGAGGCAUUGCCACAGCAAAAGGAGCUCUAGGAAUCUUUUCUGCUGUCAGCUCCCAGAAGCAGGAAAGGAAUCCCCAAAUCAGAACUUCUCCUUGGGCCCCCAU